Molecule: non-coding RNA, 29 nt
Filed under: Rattus norvegicus (Norway rat)
Lineage: Eukaryota; Metazoa; Chordata; Mammalia; Rodentia; Muridae
Source: RNAcentral
UAUGCAGUGUUUGCACUUGAAGGGUUAUA